RNAcentral lists this ribosomal RNA (253 nucleotides) under uncultured bacterium. Its description in RNAcentral is "partial 16S ribosomal RNA". It matches the Rfam family "Bacterial small subunit ribosomal RNA", at positions 524 to 776 of the family's 1533-position model. The record is from RNAcentral.
CAAGGAGGAGGCAAGCGUUCUCCGGAAUUAUUGGGCGUAAAGGGUACGUAGGCGGCUGGUCAAGCCUGGGGUCAAAGGCCACAGCUCAACUGUGGGAAGGCCCUGGAAACUGACCGGCUAGAGUGAGGUAGGGGUUGCGGGAAUUCCCGGUGUAGCGGUGAAAUGCGUAGAGAUCGGGAAGAACACCUGAGGCGGAAGCGCGCAACUGGGCCUCAACUGACGCUGAGGUACGAAAGCUAGGGGAGCGAAUGGG